GACGUAGGGCGCAAGCGUUGUCCGGAUUUAUUGGGCGUAAAGAGCUCGUAGGCGGCUUGUUGCGUCGACUGUGAAAACCCGCGGCUUAACCGCGGGCCUGCAGUUGAUACGGGCAGGCUAGAGUUCGGUAGGGGAGACUGGAAUUCCUGGUGUAGCGGUGAAAUGCGCAGAUAUCGAGAGGAACACCUGCGGCGAAGGCGGGUUGCUGGGCUGACACUGACGCUGAUGCGCGAAAGCUAGGGGAGCGAACGGG
RNAcentral lists this ribosomal RNA (253 nucleotides) under uncultured bacterium. RNAcentral's name for it is "partial 16S ribosomal RNA". It matches the Rfam family "Bacterial small subunit ribosomal RNA", at positions 524 to 776 of the family's 1533-position model. The record is from RNAcentral.